Molecule: ribosomal RNA, 396 nt
Filed under: uncultured Geothermobacter sp.
Lineage: Bacteria; Pseudomonadati; Thermodesulfobacteriota; Desulfuromonadia; Desulfuromonadales; Geothermobacteraceae
Description: bacterial SSU rRNA
Rfam family: Bacterial small subunit ribosomal RNA
Source: RNAcentral
CCCGAUCGUACUCUAUGGAAACAUAGGGGUCAGUUCGGCUGGAUCGGUGACAGGUGCUGCAUGGCUGUCGUCAGCUCGUGUCGUGAGAUGUUGGGUUAAGUCCCGCAACGAGCGCAACCCUUGUCCUUAGUUGCCACCAUUCAGUUGGGCACUCUAAGGAGACUGCCGGUGUUAAACCGGAGGAAGGUGGGGAUGACGUCAAGUCCUCAUGGCCCUUAUAUCCAGGGCUACACACGUGCUACAAUGGCCGGUACAAAGGGUCGCCAACCCGCGAGGGGGAGCCAAUCCCAUAAAGCCAUUCGUAGUCCGGAUCGCAGUCUGCAACUCGACUGCGUGAAGUCGGAAUCGCUAGUAAUCGUGGAUCAGAAUGUCACGGUGAAUACGUUCCCGGGUCUU